RNAcentral lists this ribosomal RNA (330 nucleotides) under uncultured eukaryote. Its description in RNAcentral is "partial 18S ribosomal RNA". It matches the Rfam family "Eukaryotic small subunit ribosomal RNA", at positions 1470 to 1796 of the family's 1831-position model. The record is from RNAcentral.
CCCUUAGAUGUCCUGGGCCGCACGCGCGCUACACUGACGGAGGCAGCGAGCAUGUCCUUCGCCGAGAGGUGUGGGGAAUCUUGUGAGUCUCCGUCGUGCUGGGGAUAGAUGGUUGCAAUUGUCGAUCUUGAACGAGGAAUUCCUAGUAAGCGCGAGUCAUCAGCUCGCGCUGAUUACGUCCCUGCCCUUUGUACACACCGCCCGUCGCUACUACCGAUUGGAUGGUUUAGCGAGAGCCUUGGAUUGGAGCCCAGGUGGUCGGCAACGGCCGCUCGGGAUGCCGAGAAAUUGCUCCAGCUGACUCAUCUAGAGGAAGUAAAAGUCGUAACA